AGAUUUCCGAAUGGGGAAACCUGGCUAGUUGAAGACUAGUCGUACAAUGUACGCAAACCUGCCGAACUGAAACAUCUAAGUAAGCAGAGGAAGAGAAAAUAAUAAUGAUUUCCUAAGUAGUGGCGAGCGAACGGGAAAGAGCCCAAACCAGCUAUGUUACGGCAUAACUGGGGUUGUAGGACUACGAUAUGGCAUUAAUGAAAUGAAGUGGAACAGGAUGGGAAGCCUGGCAAUAUAGCGUGAGAGCCGCGUACACGUAAGUAACAUUAGUCUAGUAGUAUCCUGAGUACCGCGAGGUCGGAGACGCCUUGUGGGAAUCUGCCGGCACCAUCCGGUAAGGCUAAAUACUCCUGAGAGACCGAUAGUGAACCAGUACCGUGAGGGAAAGGUGAAAAGAACCCCGAACAGGGGAGUGAAAUAGAACCUGAAACUGUGUGCUUACAAGCGGUCGGAGCGUCCAGGUGGCGUGACGGCGUGCCUUUUGCAUAAUGAGCCUACGAGUUACUCUUCUCUGGCAAGGUUAAGUGUUUAAGACACGGAUCCGAAGCGAAAGCGAGUCUGAAUAGGGCGUAUAGUCAGGGGAGGUAGACGCGAAACCUUGUGAUCUACCCAUGGACAGGUUGAAGGUGCGGUAACACGUACUGGAGGACCGAACCGAUAAACGUUGAAAAGUUUCCGGAUGAUCUGUGGGUAGGGGUGAAAGGCUAAUCAAACUGGGAAAUAGCUCGUACUCCCCGAAAUGUUUUUAGGAACAGCGUCGUGGUAAAGUUAUUUAGAGGUAGAGCUACUGAUUGGGUGCGGGGGAGUCAAAUCCUACCAAAUCCAGACAAACUCCGAAUGCUAGAUAAUAUACACGGCAGUGAGGCGCGGGGUGCUAAGGUCACGCGCCGAGAGGGAAAGAACCCAGACCAUCAGCUAAGGUCCCCAAGUUACUACUAAGUUGAACUAACGAGGUGCGAUUGCCUAGACAGCUAGGAUGUUGGCUUGGAAGCAGCCAUUCAUUUAAAGAGUGCGUAACAGCUCACUAGUCGAGCGAUCGUGCAUGGAUAAUAAACGGGCAUUAAGUAGUACACCGAAGCUAUGGGUAAUAUUUAUAUUACGGUAGGGGAGCAUUCCAGCGGCAGCGAAGUUAUGACGUAAGUUGUGGUGGAGCUUCUGGAAAAGCAAAUGUAGGCAUAAGUAACGAUAAGGCGGGCGAGAAACCCGCCCACCGAAAGGAUAAGGUUUCCUGAUCAACGCUAAUCGGAUCAGGGUUAGUCGGGACCUAAGGAGAACCCGAAGGGGAUAUUCGAUGGACAACUGGUUAAUAUUCCAGUACUUUUUAUAACUGCGAUGUGGGGACGGAGUAGUGACACUGCCGCGAUCUGACGGAAUAGAUCGUUAAAGACUGUAGGUAUUGGAG
This 1402-nucleotide ribosomal RNA is filed under the name Pedobacter sp. CAN_A7. Its description in RNAcentral is "partial 23S ribosomal RNA". It matches the Rfam family "Bacterial large subunit ribosomal RNA", at positions 108 to 1532 of the family's 2925-position model. Lineage: Bacteria; Pseudomonadati; Bacteroidota; Sphingobacteriia; Sphingobacteriales; Sphingobacteriaceae. The record is from RNAcentral.